This 111-nucleotide ribosomal RNA is filed under the name Staphylococcus epidermidis. RNAcentral's name for it is "partial 23S ribosomal RNA". It matches the Rfam family "Bacterial large subunit ribosomal RNA", at positions 2815 to 2925 of the family's 2925-position model. The record is from RNAcentral. Lineage: Bacteria; Bacillati; Bacillota; Bacilli; Caryophanales; Staphylococcaceae.
CAACUUCGGUUAUAAGAGCCCUCGAAGAUGACGAGGUUAAUAGGUUCGAGGUGGAAGCGUGGUGACACGUGGAGCUGACGAAUACUAAUCGAUCGAAGACUUAAUCAAUUU